UACGUAGGCAGCAAGCGUUGUUCGGAGUUACUGGGCGUAAAGAGUGCGUAGGCGGUCCUAUAAGUUCCGUGUGAAAUCUCCCGGCUCAACUGGGAGGGUGCGCGGAAGACUGUAGGGCUUGAGUGUGGGAGAGGUAAGCGGAAUUCCUGGUGUAGCGGUGAAAUGCGUAGAUAUCGGGAGGAACACCGGUGGCGAAGGCGGCCUUCUGGACGGAUACUGACGCUGAGACGCGAAAGCGUGGGGAGCAAACAGG
This 253-nucleotide ribosomal RNA is filed under the name uncultured bacterium. RNAcentral describes it as "partial 16S ribosomal RNA". It matches the Rfam family "Bacterial small subunit ribosomal RNA", at positions 524 to 776 of the family's 1533-position model. The record is from RNAcentral.